Molecule: ribosomal RNA, 1210 nt
Filed under: uncultured bacterium
Lineage: Bacteria
Description: bacterial SSU rRNA
Rfam family: Bacterial small subunit ribosomal RNA
Source: RNAcentral
GGGUGCGUAACGCGUAUGCAACCUACCUUCAACAGGGGGAUAAUCCGAAGAAAUUUGGUCUAAUACCCCAUAAUAUUCCGACAGGCAUCUGUUGGAGUUGAAAGCUUCGGUGGUUGGAGAUGGGCAUGCGUUGUAUUAGCUAGAUGGUGAGGUAACGGCUCACCAUGGCGAUGAUACAUAGGGGGACUGAGAGGUUUUCCCCCCACACUGGUACUGAGACACGGACCAGACUCCUACGGGAGGCAGCAGUGAGGAAUAUUGGUCAAUGGACGGAAGUCUGAACCAGCCAUGCCGCGUGCAGGAUGAAUGUGCUAUGCAUUGUAAACUGCUUUUGUACGAGGGUAAACACAGAUACGCGUAUCUGCUUGAAAGUAUCGUACGAAUAAGGAUCGGCUAACUCCGUGCCAGCAGCCGCGGUAAUACGGAGGAUCCGAGCGUUAUCCGGAUUUAUUGGGUUUAAAGGGUGCGUAGGCUGUUUUUUAAGUUAGAGGUGAAAGCUCGACGCUCAACGUCGAAAUUGCCUCUGAUACUGAGAGACUAGAGUGUAGUUGCGGAAGGCGGAAUGUGUGGUGUAGCGGUGAAAUGCUUAGAUAUCACACAGAACACCGAUUGCGAAGGCAGCUUUCCAAGCUAUUACUGACGCUGAGGCACGAAAGCGUGGGGAGCGAACAGGAUUAGAUACCCUGGUAGUCCACGCAGUAAACGAUGAUAACUCGUUGCCGGCGAUACACAGUCGGUGACUUAGCGAAAGCGUUAAGUUAUCCACCUGGGGAGUACGUUCGCAAGAAUGAAACUCAAAGGAAUUGACGGGGGCCCGCACAAGCGGAGGAACAUGUGGUUUAAUUCGAUGAUACGCGAGGAACCUUACCCGGGCUUGAAAGUUAGCGACGGAUCGAGAAAUCGGUCUUCCCUUCGGGGCGCGAAACUAGGUGCUGCAUGGUUGUCGUCAGCUCGUGCCGUGAGGUGUCGGGUUAAGUCCCAUAACGAGCGCAACCCCUACCGUUAGUUGCCAUCAGGUCAAGCUGGGCACUCUAGCGGGACUGCCGGUGUAAGCCGAGAGGAAGGUGGGGAUGACGUCAAAUCAGCACGGCCCUUACGUCCGGGGCGACACACGUGUUACAAUGGCCGGUACAGAGGGUAGCUACCUGGUGACAGGAUGCCAAUCUCGAAAGCCGGUCUCAGUUCGGAUUGGAGGCUGAAACUCGCCUCC